UACGGGGGGUGCGAGCGUUAUUCGGAAUCAUUGGGCGUAAAGGGCGCGUAGGCGGUCUCUUAAGUCAGGUGUGAAAGCCUUCCGCUUAACGGAAGAAGUGCACUUGAAACUAAAGGACUUGAGUAUGGGAGAGGGAAGUGGAAUUCCUGGUGUAGCGGUGAAAUGCGUAGAUAUCAGGAGGAACACCGGUGGCGAAGGCGACUUCCUGGACCAAUACUGACGCUGAGGCGCGAAGGCGUGGGGAGCAAACAGGAUUAGAUACCCGCGUA
RNAcentral lists this ribosomal RNA (269 nucleotides) under uncultured prokaryote. RNAcentral describes it as "partial 16S ribosomal RNA". It matches the Rfam family "Bacterial small subunit ribosomal RNA", at positions 524 to 792 of the family's 1533-position model. The record is from RNAcentral.